UACGUAGGGUGCAAGCGUUGUCCGGAAUUAUUGGGCGUAAAGAGCUCGUAGGCGGUCUGUCGCGUCGGAUGUGAAAAUCCAGGGCUCAACCCUAGACCUGCAUUCGAUACGGGCAGACUAGAGUUCGGUAGGGGAGACUGGAAUUCCUGGUGUAGCGGUGAAAUGCGCAGAUAUCAGGAGGAACACCGGUGGCGAAGGCGGGUCUCUGGGCCGAUACUGACGCUGAGGAGCGAAAGCGUGGGGAGCGAACAGG
This 253-nucleotide ribosomal RNA is filed under the name uncultured bacterium. RNAcentral's name for it is "partial 16S ribosomal RNA". It matches the Rfam family "Bacterial small subunit ribosomal RNA", at positions 524 to 776 of the family's 1533-position model. The record is from RNAcentral.